GAUGAAGAACGUAGCGAAAUGCGAUACGUAAUGUGAAUUGCAGAAUUCAGUGAAUCAUCGAAUCUUUGAACGCAUAUUGCGCUCUCUGGUAUUCCGGAGAGCGUGCUUGUUUGAGUAUCAGUAAACACCUCAACUUCCAUAUCUUUUUUUGAAAUGGGAGUUGGACUUGAGUGAUCCCAACGCUUUUCCUCACCGAAAAGUGGCGGGUUACUUGAAAUGCAGGUGCAGCUGGACUUUUCUCUGAGCUAUAAGCAUAUCUAUUUAGUCUGCCUAAAAAACAGAUUAUUACCUUUGCUGCAGCUAACAUAAAGGAGAUUAGUUCUUGUGCUGACUGAUGCAGGAUUCACAAAGACAGCUUCGGCCGACUUUGUAAACUCGAUCUCAAAUCAAGUAAGACUACCCGCUGAACUUAAGCAUAUCAAUAAGCGGAGGA
Molecule: unclassified non-coding RNA, 433 nt
Filed under: soil metagenome
Description: partial contains 5.8S ribosomal RNA, internal transcribed spacer 2, and large subunit ribosomal RNA
Rfam family: 5.8S ribosomal RNA (bases 1-120)
Source: RNAcentral